CUUCAGGAUAACUCUAAAUUGUGGUGACUGGUACCAGCCCCAAGGAUCCACUCUGCCAGCUGAGAAACACAGAGGCGCAGAAGUACGCCAUUCAGUUCCGCAUCUUAUCCUAGCAAUGCUGUCUGAGGCCAUGAUCCUUCAAACACCCACAUAUUAAACCCCCUGUGGAAUAUCAAGUCUGACUAUAUCAACUGCUAACAUGUGACUGAUGGAUGGGUGAUCUGUUCUUGCAAACUGGGAUACCAGGUUGCAGCUGUUGAGAAUGGUGGGGACAUUUGUGUGGACACAGAAACUAUAUGAGAUGGCAGUUACUGCAUCCUCAGGCCCUGACCAGAGGGAUAUGAAUGCCGAGAUAUGGAACACUAUCAGUUUGAUUGCAUCAGAGAAGCCCUUUUUGUGCCAAACUGAAUGCAGUUUUCCAUUGUCCCAAACUGGAUUCUGCCUAUUCACAUUGUCAAACUUCCACUGGAAGAUAAGAGACAUCCCCACCACCAACUGAAUCCUGG
RNAcentral lists this long non-coding RNA (506 nucleotides) under Gopherus agassizii (Agassiz's desert tortoise). Its description in RNAcentral is "lncRNA (ENSGAGG00000010820.1)". Lineage: Eukaryota; Metazoa; Chordata; Testudines; Testudinidae. The record is from RNAcentral.